This is an RNA transcript of Sorghum bicolor (sorghum), 2167 nucleotides long. It is a transcript of the gene named CBL-interacting protein kinase 19, with no coding region annotated. The transcript has 3 exons. The record is from RefSeq and is a predicted model, not a curated record. NCBI's taxonomy places the organism in Eukaryota, Viridiplantae, Streptophyta, Magnoliopsida, Poales, Poaceae.
UAAACAGGAAGUAUCCAGGGAGCCGUUAGCUGUUCGUUCCCCCUCCAAUGCCGGCCACCCAUCACCUUCCCCUCCGCCCGCCCCCGACCCGUGCCCUCACCACCACCACCACCUAAUCGGCUAAUCCGCCUUCGGCCUUCCUCUCCGUUUCUCCGCGCGCCCGGCCUCCUUCGCCGCCCGAUGGCCGCCACCCCGCCGUCGUCGCGGGACCCGUCGCCGCAGCCCCGGCGGCCGGCCUCCUCCGCGGGGCCCGCCACCACCAAGCGCGGGGGCCUCCUGCUCGGCCGCUACGAGCUGGGCCGCCUGCUCGGCCACGGCACCUUCGCCAAGGUCUACCACGCCCGCCACGCCGACACCGGCGAGACCGUCGCCAUCAAGGUGCUCGACAAGGAGAAGGCCCUCCGCAACGGCCUCGUCCCGCACAUCAAGCGCGAGAUCGCCAUCCUCCGCCGCGUGCGCCACCCAAACAUCGUCCGCCUCUUCGAGGUCAUGGCCACCAAGUCCAAGAUCUACUUCGUCAUGGAGUUCGUCCGCGGCGGGGAGCUCUUCGCGCGCGUCGCCAAGGGCCGCCUCAAGGAGGACACCGCGCGGAGGUACUUCCAGCAGCUCAUCUCCGCCGUCGGCUUCUGCCACGCCCGGGGCGUCUUCCACCGGGACCUCAAGCCCGAGAACCUCCUCGUCGACCAGCGCGGCGACCUCAAGGUCUCCGAUUUCGGCCUCUCGGCGGUCGCUGAUCAGUUCCACCCUGAUGGCCUCCUCCACACAUUCUGUGGCACGCCCUCCUACGUCGCCCCGGAGGUGCUCGCGCGCCGCGGCUAUGACGGCGCCAAGGCGGACAUAUGGUCCUGCGGUGUCAUCCUGUUCGUGCUCAUGGCUGGCUACCUUCCUUUCCAUGACCAGAACCUCAUGGCGAUGUACCGUAAGAUUUACAGGGGGGAAUUCCGGUGUCCGAGAUGGUUUUCCAAGGACCUUAGCAGUCUAUUGAAUCGGCUUCUUGACACGAACCCAGAGACCAGGAUCACCGUGGCUCAGAUAAUGGAGAGCAGGUGGUUUCAGAAAGGGUUCCGACCGGUCAGGUUCUACGUCGAGGAUGAUCAAGUCCACAGCUUGGAAGACAGUGAGAAUGAGGUGCCGGAACUGGGGCCUAGUGAGCCUCCACCUCCACCUCCCCUGCCGCCGCCACCACAGAAAGAGGACGACGGUGAUGAUUCUGGUUGGGAAUCAGACUCGUCUGUAGCAUCCUGCCCAGCCACAUUGUCAUCAGAGGAGAGGAGACGGCCUGUUGGAUCUCUCCCACGGCCGGUAAGUCUAAAUGCGUUUGAUAUCAUAUCGUUCUCAAGGGGAUUCAAUUUGUCGGGGUUGUUUGAGGAGCGAGGCAGUGAAGUGAGAUUUGUCUCAGCACAUCCCAUGCAAACGAUUGUAACAAAAUUGGAGGAGAUUGCGAAGGUGAAGAGCUUUGCAGUUCGACGGAAGGACUGGCGGGUGAGCCUGGAAGGCACGAGAGAAAGUGAAAAGGGUCCAUUGACAAUUGGGGCUGAAGUAUUUGAGCUCACACCAAGCCUUGUGGUGGUGGAGGUGAGGAUGAAAGCAGGGGACAGGGAAGAAUAUGAGGAUUUUUGUGAGAAGGAGUUGAAACCUGGGAUGCAGCACCUCGUGCACCAUACAGCCUCGGUUCCAGAUAUACCUUCUGACACUGAGUAGCUUAAAAGGUACUUGCAAAGGACUUGGUACUGCUGUCUCAGACUAAAAGCACCAGCAAAUGAAUAAACCACGAGCAUGUGCAAAGAAUAAACAAUUAUGCCUCAGAUUGGAGCGAAGAAUGUCCCCCUGAUUCAUGUCUAGUUACGAUUAUUGGACUAAGGUUAUUUCUGGAUAACAGCUGAAAUUAUGAUCCAGUAGUCGGUGAGGUCCAUAGUGUUUGGAGUUCUGUUCUGAACUUGCUCUUGUAAUGAGUUGAUUAAAUUUAGGCGAGUGAGAACAUUCUGUUUGAUCCUUUAAUAGGAAAUGAUUCUAUAGUUAGAACAACUCACACCUGUAGCUUGUAGGGUGAGUAAAUGAUGGUGGAAAAGCUGUGUGUAAACUGUGUACACAAUCGUGUACCAUAUUUCUAAUCAACUUUGUUUUCAGUUUUUGAUUGAAUGCAAAAAUUGUGCUAUUUCUUUCUUAA